Zea mays is the source of this 2649-nucleotide RNA transcript. RefSeq lists it as uncharacterized. Lineage: Eukaryota; Viridiplantae; Streptophyta; Magnoliopsida; Poales; Poaceae. The record is from RefSeq and is a predicted model, not a curated record. The transcript has 4 exons.
CCUACUUCUCUCCGAUCCUUUCGCAUCCACCGCCUCCAUCUCGGCGGCGUCGCCAGAAACGCUUCGCCGUCGAUUCGCAUGGAUCCAUAAAAGGCUUGGCUCUCCCAUCCGUCGUCGCCCCAUCGCGUUGUCCCUAGAGAGGAAGCAAGGCACAUGACCGCCGUCUCCGGGUGGGACGACGAGUCUGUCCUCCUCGAUGUGAUGGUCGCUGAGGCCACCCUCGCCUGUGAGUCCCAUCGCAAGAGGCAGGCCUCCACCUGCUCCAACGAUGACGGCACCGGAUCCAACACCAAAUACGGAGAUACAGUUGACAGGGCUCCUCUCUUCCACGAUGCGAAGGUGUACUUAGCAAUGGUGCAAAUCAUGCCCAUCCACGAGAUCUUGGCCUCAUCGCCGAUUGAGAAGAUGACGUUGCAAAUAUUUCAGACUUGUAGAGCCCUCGAGCACCUCCAUCUCUUGUUCAGUUGCUUAUAUUAGUCAUAUGUUCCCUAUGUUUAAAUUUGAUAGUAGAUUGAGGCAACAUAUAAACUUCAGGUCAAAAUAAGAAGAGAUAAAGGAAGAACAAUCAAAUGAGAAACCUUUUCAGUCAGUAUAGAAUGACAUCUUUUUUCUUUCAGUUCAGGUUCAGCGACACAUGCAUGUAAGAAUACAUUGCAGACUAAUCUUUGUUGUGGCCUGAGUGUGAAUUAUUUUAUUUUUGAAAAAAAACAGACCACCAAGGAGCCACCUUCCUCCAAUGGUGUGGUGCAAAAACAACAACAUGGUCUACACAGUAGUGCCUCUAACGCAAGGACACAGGCAGGCGUCAUAGAGUAUCAUUGAGGAAAUUAUAUCUCUGUUAUUAAAUGGUGUGUUUAAUUUGUUCUCGAUCCCAGUUUAAUCUAUUGAUUGUAUAUUAGAAACUAACUCAUGCAAAUCAUGGCGUGCAUGGAUCGGCUAUUCGGCUCUUGCUCAGUAAGGAUGCUUCUCUUUUCUUAUAUCUAUGAUCCUAUACUAGAUGCUACUGUGAUUGAUAUGGGAGGUGCAUUUUUUUUGCAUAUUUGCCUGUACAUCUGCUUUGAGCUGAUCAGCCUUGUGGACACAGGUAAUUUAUAAUUGUGAAUUUCCAAAAAAGGAUGGCUGCAUGAAUUCUAUGCAAAAAGAAGAAAUAAAAAAAGUUCCCUUGGUUCAUUCUGUUUGUGUCUGUGUGCUGCAACGGUAGGGUGUCAGUUCCUUCCUGUGACUCACGCAAUUCAUUUUGUAUGCUAAUUGCAUGUCUAAAGUGCUUUCUUCUGCCAUAGAAAGUGUUGUUUAGUAAAUGAUCCUUGAAUUUGGUAUUUUUUAUGUUUAGUUUCGAAGGAGCCUGUUAAAUACCCUGGCCAAAUGGACCACAAAAGCUUAUUUGCAAUGUGCAUGUCCGCUUCUUGCACAUUUGCUUAUAUACAAGACCGGAGUACUAUGAUUUUCGUCGCUACUUUGAUUGUGCUUUGAGUAAAAAAGGUUACAAAAAUAAUGUGUUUGGUAGGGAACAUAGCGAUAAAUAGUAACAAAAGAAUUAAAUGCACAUUGCUGAUCGCUUUAUAUGUUAUGAUUAUAAAUUUACAUUCAAUUAAACUAUUAGAGAGUACAUGGAAAAAAAGCAAGCAACAAUAGAAAAAUGGUAUUAAUAGGAGAACAAUUACUAAGUGGUGGCGGUAGGGUCAGCUGGUGCGGUUCUGCCAUCAGGUGUACUCAAUUCUUUCAUAAGAGGUAGCUUGUUCUACAUCACCACAACAUCACAGGAAUGUAAAUUAGAAGACAUAAAAAGGACUAUAGGCCUUAGUUCAAUGGGUAAUCAACAUACAAAUAAAUCUUAUCUACAGAGAUAGACAUGUGAAUUGGUCUCUUGAGAAGGUGAGUUCUUUUGCUAGAUGGAAAAUCUAGCAUCAUUCUGCCCUUUUUUACACAUAAGAGGUUUAUGAGCAAAUCAUCACCAUGUACGAAAUUAUCUUUUCUUUCGUUAUUUUCUGGUCAGUAGGGAGGUAAAGGAAGUGGUCAGCAUGACUAUGUCUCUCACUGAAUUCCAUAUGGUGGUAACUAGCAACUUAAUGUAUGCCAACGAUAGAAAAAAUGCCUUUGAAUCAUAGCACUGAUACCUCUCACCACACUAUGUACAGCCAAGGGUUUUGCUUGCCCCAACAUCCCCAUUUUUGGCAAAGAACACUACUGGAACAAAAUCAUAUUCAGGCAAAAAUAUUUACGGUGUCUUAGGAGUCAGAAUAGUGUGUCCUACUUACCAUUACAAUUUACAUGCAUGUUUAAAUAAAAAGUCUACCUUCACGUCAUCAGUAUUGGCUGUAGGUCGUUCCACUAUCAUGUACUCAUAGUUUGGCUGUUGAAACUUCUUUUUUUGCUUGUUAUUUUUAGGCACUAUGUUCGGGGAGCCUAUUAUAUGCAAAAACAUUCCAAGACUUGUUCUAGUAACAGGUGAUGGUUGCAUGGUGCAACAAGAACUUGAAGGACUGGACCAAGACAAGUGCAGGAUAGAUAGUAUACGAGUUUAUUCUAUGGGCCAAUGGUGAUCAUGAUUAGGCAUCAGUGUUGCAAACCUGUCUUCUCUCUACCCACCUUUGCUCUUUAUUUUCUUUGCUUCCGUUCAGCCCAGGAGCUUGAUUCUCACGUUUUUACAUG